UGUAUAGACUCUUGAUAAAGGGAUCUAGUCACAUAAUGUUAAGACUAUCCAGUUUUUUGCUGGUGAACGAAAGGAUCGAAGUGAUUUACUCGGCAAGUAGAUCUCGUUCUGACUUUGUUAAGCGUUACGGCAUCAUUCGAAAAAGGUUUUGGCCUUUGAGCCUUAGUAUGUUCGAAAGAGCGUACAUUCUAGGGAGGCUUAGUACCCGAACCAAGAGAUGCUUCACUUAACCAAGCUUCAUAACCACGUCACAGACAUAGAGCAUGCUCAAUAUGGCCUCCAGACCACUGCGCCUGUUUGAGGACGGAUAGUCGUUGCCAACCGUCUCGUUCUAUACAAUAGCAACGAUAACAACGGCAAGCACGCGACGUGGAGACAAUACAAAGGUUUGUGCCUAUAAAUGACACUAGAGAAG
Long non-coding RNA from Varroa destructor (honeybee mite), 415 nucleotides. The record is from RefSeq and is a predicted model, not a curated record. NCBI's taxonomy places the organism in Eukaryota, Metazoa, Arthropoda, Arachnida, Mesostigmata, Varroidae.